Magallana angulata is the source of this 231-nucleotide long non-coding RNA. RefSeq lists it as uncharacterized. NCBI's taxonomy places the organism in Eukaryota, Metazoa, Mollusca, Bivalvia, Ostreida, Ostreidae. The transcript is spliced from 2 exons. The record is from RefSeq and is a predicted model, not a curated record.
UUGAGUUGGCUGAGUAAAGUCUUUCGUUUUUCAUUGGUUCUCUAAUUUCAUUGGUCUUUCUUAUUUUCAUUAUCCAAUAAAUUUAAUUCUCUAUUUGAUAUAAGUAACCGUUCAAACUAAGUAAAAUUAGGCAGUAUUUCAUUUUCAACAUCGUCAGUCAAUCCAGCGUGUAUCUGCUGCAUCUUGUGGUCAAUGCUUUAUUUAUCUACUUAAUAAAUCGACUGAAAUCAC